UACGUAGGGCGCAAGCGUUGUCCGGAAUUAUUGGGCGUAAAGAGCUCGUAGGCGGCCUGUUGCGUCCGCUGUGAAAUCCCGGGGCUCAACCCCGGGCCUGCAGUGGAUACGGGCUGGCUGGAGGCAGGCAGGGGAGAACGGAAUUCCUGGUGUAGCGGUGAAAUGCGCAGAUAUCAGGAGGAACACCGAUGGCGAAGGCAAUCCCCUGGGCCUGUACUGACGCUCAUGCACGAAAGCGUGGGGAGCAAACAGG
Molecule: ribosomal RNA, 253 nt
Filed under: uncultured bacterium
Lineage: Bacteria
Description: partial 16S ribosomal RNA
Rfam family: Bacterial small subunit ribosomal RNA
Source: RNAcentral